Molecule: ribosomal RNA, 799 nt
Filed under: uncultured Rhizophagus
Lineage: Eukaryota; Fungi; Glomeromycota; Glomeromycetes; Glomerales; Glomeraceae
Description: SSU rRNA
Rfam family: Eukaryotic small subunit ribosomal RNA
Source: RNAcentral
AUCAACUUUCGAUGGUAGGAUAGAGGCCUACCAUGGUGGUAACGGGUAACGGGGUGUUAGGGCACGACACCGGAGAGGGAGCCUGAGAAACGGCUACCACAUCCAAGGAUGGCAGCAGGCGCGCAAAUUACCCAAUCCCGACACGGGGAGGUAGUGACAAUAAAUAACAAUACGGGGUUCUUUUGGAUUUCGUAAUUGGAAUGAGUACAAUUUAAAUCUCUUAACGAGGAACAAUUGGAGGGCAAGUCUGGUGCCAGCAGCCGCGGUAAUUCCAGCUCCAAUAGCGUAUAUUAAAGUUGUUGCAGUUAAAAAGCUCGUAGUUGAAUUUCGGGGUUAGUAGGCUGGUCAUGCCACAGGUAUGCACUGGUCUUACUGAUUCCUCCUUCCUGAUGAACCGUAAUGCCAUUAAUUUGGUGUUGCGGGGAGUCUGGACUGUUACUUUGAAAAAAUUAGAGUGUUUAAAGCAGGCUAACGCUUGAAUACAUUAGCAUGGAAUAACGAAAUAGGACGUUCGAUCUUAUUUUGUUGGUUUCUAGGAUUGACGUAAUGAUUAAUAGGGAUAGUUGGGGGCAUUAGUAUUCAAUUGUCAGAGGUGAAAUUCUUGGAUUUAUUGAAGACUAACUACUGCGAAAGCAUUUGCCAAGGAUGUUUUCAUUAAUCAAGAACGAAAGUUAGGGGAUCGAAGACGAUCAGAUACCGUCGUAGUCUUAACCAUAAACUAUGCCGACUAGGGAUCGGAUGAUGUUAAUUUUAUAAUGACUCAUUCGGCGCCUUACGGGAAACCAAAGUGUUUGGGUUC